AGUUAAACGGCCGCGGUAUUUUGACCGUGCAAAGGUAGCGCAAUCACUUGUCUUUUAAAUGAAGACCCGUAUGAAUGGUGAAACGAGGGCUUAACUGUCUCCUUUUCCAAGUCAAUGAAAUUGAUCUCUCCGUGCAGAAGCGGGUAUAAAAAUACAAGACGAGAAGACCCUUUGGAGCUUAAGAUUAAAAUCAACUAUGUCAAUAACAGUUUAAACCAAAUAGAAACUGAUUUAAUAUCUUCGGUUGGGGCGACCACGGGAGAAAACAAAACUCCCACGAGGAUUGGGAACUAUCCUAAAACUAAGAGAGACAUCUCUAAGCCACAGAAUUUCUGACCGCAAAGAUCCGGCCACUAGCCGAUCAACGAACCAAGUUACCCUAGGGAUAACAGCGCAAUCCCCUUUCAGAGUCCAUAUCGACAAGGGGGUUUACGACCUCGAUGUUGGAUCAGGACAUCCUAAUGGUGCAGCCGCUAUUAA
RNAcentral lists this ribosomal RNA (480 nucleotides) under Plectrochilus sp. SAS-2009. Its description in RNAcentral is "partial 16S ribosomal RNA". It matches the Rfam family "Bacterial large subunit ribosomal RNA", at positions 1921 to 2568 of the family's 2925-position model. The record is from RNAcentral. Lineage: Eukaryota; Metazoa; Chordata; Actinopteri; Siluriformes; Trichomycteridae.